UACGGAGGGUGCAAGCGUUAAUCGGAAUUACUGGGCGUAAAGCGUGCGCAGGCGGUUGUGUAAGACAGAUGUGAAAUCCCCGGGCUCAACCUGGGAACUGCAUUUGUGACUGCACAGCUGGAGUGCGGCAGAGGGGGAUGGAAUUCCGCGUGUAGCAGUGAAAUGCGUAGAUAUGCGGAGGAACACCGAUGGCGAAGGCAAUCCCCUGGGCCUGCACUGACGCUCAUGCACGAAAGCGUGGGGAGCAAACAGG
RNAcentral lists this ribosomal RNA (253 nucleotides) under uncultured bacterium. Its description in RNAcentral is "partial 16S ribosomal RNA". It matches the Rfam family "Bacterial small subunit ribosomal RNA", at positions 524 to 776 of the family's 1533-position model. The record is from RNAcentral.